This 298-nucleotide long non-coding RNA is filed under the name Phoenix dactylifera (date palm). RNAcentral's name for it is "long non-coding RNA (PDAC_LNC004126)". The record is from RNAcentral. Lineage: Eukaryota; Viridiplantae; Streptophyta; Magnoliopsida; Arecales; Arecaceae.
UUCAUCCUGUGGGCGUUUGAGAAGAUUUCGGAGUUUGGCUUUAUCUUGGCUGAUGGGAUCUCGAAACAGGGGAAGAGGAUAAGCUUGGACGUUGGGAAGAGAUGAAGCUGGGAUUAUGCUGGUGGUGUUCUCGGUUGAGAACAGAGGAGCUGGGAACUUAUCGAGAUGCUUGAGGAUGCGGAUGUGGUCGUGGGAUGGAGAUAGAUCACGAGCGUAUGGUUUGGAAGAAGGAUACGGCUGUGAUGUGGAGCAUUGGUUGCGGAAAGAUGAAGCUAAGGAGUGAUUUGUAGACGUUGGG